RNAcentral lists this ribosomal RNA (625 nucleotides) under Streptomyces sp. BBMP70. RNAcentral describes it as "bacterial SSU rRNA". It matches the Rfam family "Bacterial small subunit ribosomal RNA", at positions 119 to 758 of the family's 1533-position model. Lineage: Bacteria; Bacillati; Actinomycetota; Actinomycetes; Kitasatosporales; Streptomycetaceae. RNAcentral also lists the same sequence under 1 other name. The record is from RNAcentral.
GGGCAAUCUGCCCUUCACUCUGGGACAAGCCCUGGAAACGGGGUCUAAUACCGGAUAACACUCUGUCCCGCAUGGGACGGGGUUGAAAGCUCCGGCGGUGAAGGAUGAGCCCGCGGCCUAUCAGCUUGUUGGUGGGGUGAUGGCCUACCAAGGCGACGACGGGUAGCCGGCCUGAGAGGGCGACCGGCCACACUGGGACUGAGACACGGCCCAGACUCCUACGGGAGGCAGCAGUGGGGAAUAUUGCACAAUGGGCGAAAGCCUGAUGCAGCGACGCCGCGUGAGGGAUGACGGCCUUCGGGUUGUAAACCUCUUUCAGCAGGGAAGAAGCGAGAGUGACGGUACCUGCAGAAGAAGCGCCGGCUAACUACGUGCCAGCAGCCGCGGUAAUACGUAGGGCGCAAGCGUUGUCCGGAAUUAUUGGGCGUAAAGAGCUCGUAGGCGGCUUGUUGCGUCGGUUGUGAAAGCCCGGGGCUUAACCCCGGGUCUGCAGUCGAUACGGGCAGGCUAGAGUGUGGUAGGGGAGAUCGGAAUUCCUGGUGUAGCGGUGAAAUGCGCAGAUAUCAGGAGGAACACCGGUGGCGAAGGCGGAUCUCUGGGCCAUUACUGACGCUGAGGAGCGAAA